CCUACGGGUGGCAGCAGUAGGGAAUAUUGCUCAAUUGGGGAAACCCUGAAGCAGCAACGCCGCGUGGAGGCUGAAGGUUUUCGGAUUGUAAACUCCUUUUGUUAGAGACGAUAAUGACGGUAUCUAACGAAUAAGCACCGGCUAACUCCGUGCCAGCAGCCGCAGUAAUACGGAGGGUGCACGCGUUACUCGGAAUCACUGGGCGUAAAGCGCGCGUAGGCUGUUUAGGAAGUCGUGUGUGAAAUCCUAUGGCUUAACCAUCGGACGGCAUAUGAUACUGUGAGUCUAGAGUAAGGGAGAGGGAAGUGGAAUUCUUGGUGCAGGAGUAAAAUGCGUAGAGAUCGAGAGGAACACUCGUGGCGAAGGCGACUUGCUAGAACAUAACUGACGCUGAGGCACGAAGGCGUGGGGAGCGAAAGGGAUUAGAUACCCGUGUAGUC
Molecule: ribosomal RNA, 440 nt
Filed under: uncultured bacterium
Lineage: Bacteria
Description: partial 16S ribosomal RNA
Rfam family: Bacterial small subunit ribosomal RNA
Source: RNAcentral